UACGAAGGGUGCAAGCGUCACUCGGAAUUACUGGGCGUAAGGCGUGCGUAGGUGGUUUGUUAAGUCUGUUGUGAAAGCCCCGGGCUCGACCUGGGAAUGGCAAUGGAUACUGGCAAGCUAGAGUGCGGUAGAGGGUAGUGGAAUUCCCGGUGUAGCGGUGAAAUGCGUAGAGAUCGGGAGGAACACCAGUGGCGAAGGCGGCUACCUGGACCAGCACUGACACUGAGGCACGAAAGCGUGGGGAGCAAACAGG
This 253-nucleotide ribosomal RNA is filed under the name uncultured bacterium. RNAcentral describes it as "partial 16S ribosomal RNA". It matches the Rfam family "Bacterial small subunit ribosomal RNA", at positions 524 to 776 of the family's 1533-position model. The record is from RNAcentral.